RNAcentral lists this ribosomal RNA (403 nucleotides) under uncultured bacterium. RNAcentral describes it as "bacterial SSU rRNA". It matches the Rfam family "Bacterial small subunit ribosomal RNA", at positions 30 to 415 of the family's 1533-position model. The record is from RNAcentral.
AGCGAACGCUGGCGGCAUGCCUAACACAUGCAAGUCUGACGGGCGGGGCUUUCGGGCCUUGUCAGUGGCGGACGGGUGAGGAGCGCGUAGGAACGUAUCCAAGGGUGGGGGACAACCGCGGGAAACUGCGGCUAAUACCGCAUGGGGCCUCUAGGGAGACCUGAAAGGGGAGGACCUGGGGGCCAAAGGCUGGGGCAACCUAGUCGCCGGUGGAGCGGCCUGCGUCCGAUUAGCUAGUUGGUGGGGUGAGGCUUACCAAGGCAGCGAUCGGUAGCUGGUCUGAGAGGAUGAUCAGCCACACUGGGACUGAGACACGGCCCAGACUCCUACGGGAGGCAGCAGUGGGGAGUAUUGGACAAUGGGCGAAAGCCUGAUCCAGCAAUGCCGCGUGGGUGAAGAAGGU